CCUCCCCCGAUUUGGCACGACCACUGCAUUACCUUUUACACCAUACAUAAAGCCCGGCCUUCAACGACGAAGGGUGUGCUUCCCGAGAGAACGGGACCAGGACAAAGGCGUCCUCGCUAGGCAACUAGCGGGACGCC
Molecule: non-coding RNA, 137 nt
Organism: Pseudomonas fluorescens HK44
Lineage: Bacteria; Pseudomonadati; Pseudomonadota; Gammaproteobacteria; Pseudomonadales; Pseudomonadaceae
Rfam family: Pseudomonas sRNA P11
About the family: P11 is located between a putative threonine protein kinase and putative nitrate reductase and appears to be conserved in several Pseudomonas species.
Source: Rfam